GCCGAGUUGGUUAACGUCAACUUGUGACUCAAGUGAGGGCAUUAACGUGGUGGGAUAAUACUGUGGUUUCUCUGGGUUGGGCUUUGAUUGCUAGAUGCUGGCCUGCCCGUUCCAAGCUGAGAGUUGACCCAUGUGACUUGAGCGAAAGCUUUGGGUCUCUUAGGUUCUAAAGUGGAGGGUACAGCGUGAGGCUGGUUCCACAGAGCAGCGAAAACCUCCCUCUCUUAACGGUGGAGGGAUAACAGGCUGCUGCAGCCAGAGUCCUAUAUGCCCAGUGAGCCUAGUCCUUAGACCACCACUUA
RNAcentral lists this signal recognition particle RNA (302 nucleotides) under Vigna radiata var. radiata (mung bean). Its description in RNAcentral is "SRP RNA Plant_SRP". It matches the Rfam family "Plant signal recognition particle RNA". The record is from Rfam by way of RNAcentral. Lineage: Eukaryota; Viridiplantae; Streptophyta; Magnoliopsida; Fabales; Fabaceae.